Molecule: ribosomal RNA, 556 nt
Filed under: uncultured bacterium
Lineage: Bacteria
Description: partial 16S ribosomal RNA
Rfam family: Bacterial small subunit ribosomal RNA
Source: RNAcentral
UGGGGAAUUUUGGACAAUGGGCGAAAGCCUGAUCCAGCAAUGCCGCGUGUGUGAAGAAGGCCUUCGGGUUGUAAAGCACUUUUGUCCGGAAAGAAAUCCUCUGGGUUAAUACCUCGGGGGGAUGACGGUACCGGAAGAAUAAGCACCGGCUAACUACGUGCCAGCAGCCGCGGUAAUACGUAGGGUGCAAGCGUUAAUCGGAAUUACUGGGCGUAAAGCGUGCGCAGGCGGUUUUGUAAGACGGAUGUGAAAUCCCCGGGCUUAACCUGGGAACUGCAUUCGUGACUGCAAGGCUAGAGUAUGGCAGAGGGGGGUAGAAUUCCACGUGUCGCAGUGAAAUGCGUAGAGAUGUGGAGGAAUACCGAUGGCGAAGGCAGCCCCCUGGGCCAAUACUGACGCUCAUGCACGAAAGCGUGGGGAGCAAACAGGAUUAGGAUACCCUGGUAGUCCACGCCCUAAACGAUGUCAACUAGUUGUUGGGGAUUCAUUUCCUUAGUAACGUAGCUAACGCGUGAAGUUGACCGCCUGGGGGAGUACGGUCGCAAGAUUAAAACUC